RNAcentral lists this ribosomal RNA (505 nucleotides) under uncultured bacterium. Its description in RNAcentral is "partial 16S ribosomal RNA". It matches the Rfam family "Bacterial small subunit ribosomal RNA", at positions 28 to 507 of the family's 1533-position model. The record is from RNAcentral.
GACGAACGCUGGCGGCGUGCCUAAUACAUGCAAGUAGAACGCACAGUUUAUACCGUAGCUUGCUACACCAUAGACUGUGAGUUGCGAACGGGUGAGUAACGCGUAGGUAACCUGCCUGGUAGCGGGGGAUAACUAUUGGAAACGAUAGCUAAUACCGCAUAAUAUUGAUUAUUGCAUGAUAAUUAAUUGAAAGGUGCAAUUGCACCACUACCAGAUGGACCUGCGUUGUAUUAGCUAGUAGGUGAGGUAACGGCUCACCUAGGCGACGAUACAUAGCCGACCUGAGAGGGUGAUCGGCCAAACUGGGACUGAGAAACGGCCCAGACUCCUACGGGAGGCAGCAGUAGGGAAUCUUCGGCAAUGGACGAAAGUCUGACCGAGCAACGCCGCGUGAGUGAAGAAGGGUUUCGGAUCGUAAAGCUCUGUUGUAAGAGAAGAACGGGUGUGAGAGUGGAAAGUUCACACUGUGACGGUAGCUUAACAGAAAGGGACGGCUAACUACGUG